GUGCCAGCAGCCGCGGUAAUACAGAGGGUGCAAGCGUUAAUCGGAGUUACUGGGCGUAAAGGGCGCGUAGGCGGUUGAUUAAGUGAGAUGUGAAAGCCCCGGGCUUAACCUGGGAACGGCAUCUUAAACUGGUUGACUGGAGUACUGUAGAGGGUAGUGGAAUUUCCGGUGUAGCGGUGAAAUGCGUAGAGAUCGGAAGGAACACCAGUGGCGAAGGCGGCUACCUGGACAGAUACUGACGCUGAGGCGCGAGAGCGUGGGGAGCAAACAGGAUUAGAUACCCUGGUAGUCC
RNAcentral lists this ribosomal RNA (292 nucleotides) under uncultured bacterium. RNAcentral describes it as "partial 16S ribosomal RNA". It matches the Rfam family "Bacterial small subunit ribosomal RNA", at positions 505 to 796 of the family's 1533-position model. The record is from RNAcentral.